RNAcentral lists this ribosomal RNA (253 nucleotides) under uncultured bacterium. Its description in RNAcentral is "partial 16S ribosomal RNA". It matches the Rfam family "Archaeal small subunit ribosomal RNA", at positions 474 to 727 of the family's 1478-position model. The record is from RNAcentral.
UACCAGCACCCCGAGUGGUCGGGACGAUUAUCGGGCCUAAAGCAUCCGUAGCCGGUUCUACAAGUCUUCCGUUAAAUCCACCUGCUUAACAGAUGGGCUGCGGAGGAUACUAUAGAGCUAGGAGGCGGGAGAGGCAAGCGGUACUUAGUGGGUAGGGGUAAAAUCCGUUGAUCCAUUGAAGACCACCAGUGGCGAAGGCGGCUUGCCAGAACGCACUCGACGGUGAGGGAUGAAAGCUGGGGGAGCAAACCGG